Molecule: ribosomal RNA, 232 nt
Filed under: Saccharomyces cerevisiae (brewer's yeast)
Lineage: Eukaryota; Fungi; Ascomycota; Saccharomycetes; Saccharomycetales; Saccharomycetaceae
Description: partial 26S ribosomal RNA
Rfam family: Eukaryotic large subunit ribosomal RNA
Source: RNAcentral
CCUUGCCUUAUAACGGCGAGUGAAGCGGCAAAAGCUCAAAAAUUUGAAAUCUGGUACUCUUCGGUGCCCGAGUUGUAAUUUGGAGAGGGCAACUUUGGGGCCGUUCCUUGUCUAUGUUCCUUGGAACAGGACGUCAUAGAGGGUGAGAAUCCCGUGUGGCGAAGAGUGCGGUUCUUUGUAAAGUGCCUUCAAAAAGUCAAGUUGCUUGGGAAUGCAACUCUAAGUGAACGAA